RNAcentral lists this ribosomal RNA (820 nucleotides) under Sclerotinia sclerotiorum. RNAcentral's name for it is "eukaryotic LSU rRNA". It matches the Rfam family "Eukaryotic large subunit ribosomal RNA", at positions 415 to 1393 of the family's 3401-position model. The record is from RNAcentral. Lineage: Eukaryota; Fungi; Ascomycota; Leotiomycetes; Helotiales; Sclerotiniaceae.
GGAAGCGCUUGCAAUCAGACUUGCCCCUAGUUGCAGUGGUAACUCGUUUACCAUCAACCUGCCUAGGGUCAGGCCAGCAUCAGUUUGGAUGGUUAGAUAAAGGCUUGAAGAAUGUGGCCCUUUUCGGGGGGUGUUAUAGCUUCAGGUGCAAUGUAGCCUAUCUGGACUGAGGACCGCGCUUCGGCUAGGAUGCUGGCGUAAUGGUUGUAAGCGACCCGUCUUGAAACACGGACCAAGGAGUGUACCUCAUAUGCGAGUGUUUGGGUGUUAAACCCAUACGCGUAAUGAAAGUGAACGGAGGUGAGAACCCUUAAGGGUGCAUCAUCGACCGAUCCUGAUGUCUUCGGAUGGAUUUGAGUAAGAGCAUGUGGGGUGCGACCCGAAAGAUGGUGAUCUAUACGUGAAUAGGGUGAAGCCAGAGGAAACUCUGGUGGAGGCUCGCAGCGGUUCUGACGUGCAAAUCGAUCGUCAAAUUUGCGUAUAGGGGCGAAAGACUAAUCGAACCAUUAAGGAAUAGACCAAGCUCUAGGUGGUUGAGAAACCCCUCAGGGGUAUUAGUCCUAGAAAUAGGGCGACAUUGUCAAAUUGUUCGGGGACCACCUGCUAAUUUACACACUACCGCAGCAGUGCUGAAAAGCCUGUGAGCACUGGAGGUAACGCCUCCAGGGAUGGUAAUAACGUGUGUAUAGGGUAUAUUCGCAAGCAAUUCCUAAACCUGUAAACCUAUAUUCCAGUUUACUAGUCUCUUUUACUAAGCCUCUUUGCUAGUCUCAUCGUAUCUUCUACCACGCAGAGAGCCGGGUACGUACCGAGCUUUCUC